RNAcentral lists this small RNA (773 nucleotides) under Pongo abelii (Sumatran orangutan). RNAcentral describes it as "processed transcript". Lineage: Eukaryota; Metazoa; Chordata; Mammalia; Primates; Hominidae. The record is from RNAcentral.
ACAUUAUUUCAUUUUGGAACAAGUAGGUGUUAAAAAGAAACAAAAUGCUUCUGCUGUUGUUGGGGGUGCAGUUUGAACAAAAUCUGUUAUAUAACCACCUAUAGUUUGCUUGUGAUUUAUAAAUUUUGGACUAUGCACAUAUAUAUAUAUUUUAAUGUUUUGGAUUGUGUUGCACUUCUUUGUUGGAGUGAGAGUUGAUUAGCUCUCUAACUGUUGCACAUAUUUAUUUAAACUAGAGUCUGGUAAUAAGAGUACUGCAGGUAUUAUGAAUGCUGAGGCGGCAACAAAAAUUUUGACAGAAUUGCGCCGCCUUGCUCGUGAACAAAGAGAAAAAGAGGAAGAAGAAAGACAACGGGAAGAAAUGCAGCGAAGGGUGAUUAAGAAAUCAAAAGACGUGGCAAAGGAAGCAGUUGGAGGCCAAGCAGAAGACCUCUUGAAACUCAAAGAUGGGCAGCGACAAAAGGAGACUAAAAAGAAGAAAGGAUGGCUGGAUCAGGAAGACCAGGAAGCACCACUGCAGAAAGGGGAUGCCAAAAUAAAAGCUCAAGAGGAAGCUGACAAACGCAAGAAAGAACACGAGAGAAUUAUGUUACAAAAUUUACAAGAACGGUUAGAAAGGAAAAAGAGAAUAGAAGAAAUUAUGAAGCGGACAAGAAAGACAGAUGUGAAUGCCUCAAAGGUCGCAGAAACAUCCAGCCAUGACAUAUAUGAAGAGGCUGAGGCUGACAACGAAGAAAGCGACAAGGACUCAUUGAAUGAAAUGUUUCCAUCAG